This 460-nucleotide ribosomal RNA is filed under the name uncultured bacterium. RNAcentral's name for it is "partial 16S ribosomal RNA". It matches the Rfam family "Bacterial small subunit ribosomal RNA", at positions 338 to 795 of the family's 1533-position model. The record is from RNAcentral.
CCUACGGGAGGCAGCAGUGAGGAAUAUUGGUCAAUGGACGAGAGUCUGAACCAGCCAAGUAGCGUGAAGGAUGACUGCCCUAUGGGUUGUAAACUUCUUUUAUAUGGGAAUAAAAUGUUCCACGUGUGGCAUUUUGUAUGUACUUUAUGAAUAAGGAUCGGCUAACUCCGUGCCAGCAGCCGCGGUAAUACGGAGGAUCCGAGCGUUAUCCGGAUUUAUUGGGUUUAAAGGGAGCGUAGGUGGACUGUUAAGUCAGGUGUGAAAGUUUGUGGCUCAACCGUAAAAUUGCAGUUGAAACUGGCAGUCUUGAGUACAGUAGAGGUGGGCGGAAUGCGUGGUGUAGCGGUGAAAUGCUUAGAUAUCACGAAGAACUGCGAUUGCGAAGGCAGCUCACUGGACUGCAACUGACGCUGAGGCUCGAAAGUGUGGGUAUCAAACAGGAUUAGAUACCCUUGUAGUC